Molecule: long non-coding RNA, 462 nt
Filed under: Coturnix japonica (Japanese quail)
Lineage: Eukaryota; Metazoa; Chordata; Aves; Galliformes; Phasianidae
Description: lncRNA (ENSCJPG00005004368.1)
Source: RNAcentral
AUGGCACAAGGAAACAGGGAAAGAGGACUAUUAUCCGUCCAUAAUGUUUCAUCUCUGCUACUCCCUCAUGAUCACUCUCUCUGCUUAUUACAGAUAGGGGUAGGGUUAAGGUCCCCUCUACAAUAUACCAUGCUUCCUGAACUGAUCCUUCGGAUUCUUCCCGCAGGCUGCAGCUCACCACACACUUCUCCAUCACUGGUCUGUACAACAGGGCCCAUCCUUCAGCAACAGACUGUUCUAACCAUCUCCAGGUCUGCUCCGGAUCUUCCUGACCCUCUGAAGCCUCACGGGAAGUUGGAUCAAGGGAGUUUCACUCCUUCCUUAGGGAGAUCAACAAGAAUUUGCAGACAUAGAAGCACCACAGAUGCUGUAACAAGGACUCUGGUGUAUCACUUGGUCAGGAGAAGAUUGGCAUUAUCAGUAUUGAGGCAAUGUGAGUUCGCUAGUGAUUUUGAAGUAUAA